ACGCUCGACACCUACGGAGGCAGCAGUGAGGAAUAUUGGUCAAUGGACGCAAGUCUGAACCAGCCAUGCCGCGUGCAGGAUGACGGCUCUAUGAGUUGUAAACUGCUUUUGUACGAGGGUAAACGCAGAUACGUGUAUCUGUCUGAAAGUAUCGUACGAAUAAGGAUCGGCUAACUCCGUGUCAGCAGCCGCGGUAAUCUGAGCGGGCUGGCAAGGC
RNAcentral lists this ribosomal RNA (217 nucleotides) under uncultured bacterium. RNAcentral's name for it is "partial 16S ribosomal RNA". It matches the Rfam family "Bacterial small subunit ribosomal RNA", at positions 328 to 539 of the family's 1533-position model. The record is from RNAcentral.